RNAcentral lists this small RNA (576 nucleotides) under uncultured fungus. RNAcentral's name for it is "eukaryotic LSU rRNA". The stretch from base 185 to 338 matches the Rfam family "5.8S ribosomal RNA". Lineage: Eukaryota; Fungi. The record is from RNAcentral.
GGAAGGAUCAUUAUUGAAAUAGACCUGAUGGGUUGUUGCUGGCUCUCCAGGGAGCAUGUGCACGCCUUGUCAUCUUUAUAUCUCCACCUGUGCAUCUUUUGUAGACCCUUUUCCAGGGUCUAUGUUGCUUCAUUUACCCCAAAUGUAUGUCGAUAGAAUGUUGUGCCUAUUAUAUAAUGUAUACAACUUUCAGCAACGGAUCUCUUGGCUCUCGCAUCGAUGAAGAACGCAGCGAAAUGCGAUAAGUAAUGUGAAUUGCAGAAUUCAGUGAAUCAUCGAAUCUUUGAACGCACCUUGCGCUCCUUGGUAUUCCGAGGAGCAUGCCUGUUUGAGUGUCAUUAAUACAUAUAUCAACCUUCCCUUUUGGUGAAUGGUUUGGAUGUGGGGGUUUGCUGGCCUCUAAAGAGUUCAGCUCCCCUGAAAUGCAUUAGCGGAACAACCUGGUUCAUCGGUGUGAUAAAAUAUCUACGCUGUUGAAUGUGAGGGGCAGUUCAGCUUUCUAAACAGUCCUUGGACAAAUCUUCAUUAAUGUGACCUCAAAUCAGGUAGGACUACCCGCUGAACUUAAGCAUAUCA